GACGAACGCUGGCGGCGUGCUUAACACAUGCAAGUCGAACGGACAGGCCCUGCUUUUGUGGGGUGCUCGAGUGGCGAACGGGUGAGUAACACGUGAGUAACCUGCCCUUGACUGUGGGAUAACUUCAGGAAACUGGGGCUCAUACCGGAUAGGAGCUCCUGCUGCAUGGUGGGCGUUGGAAAGUUUCGGCGGUUUGGGAUGGACUCGCGGCUUAUGAGCUUGUUGGUGGGGUAGUGGCUUACCAAGGCUUUGACGGGUAGCCGGCCUGAGAGGGUGACCGGCCACAUUGGGACUGAGAUACGGCCCAGACUCCUAUGUGAGGCAGCAGUGGAGAAUUUUGCGCAGUGGGCCGGAGCCUGAUGCAGCAACGCCGCGUGCGGGAUGACGGGCUUCGGGUUGUAAACCACUUUCGCCUGUGACGAAGCGUGAGUGACGGUACUUGGUAAAGAAGCACCGGCUAACUACGUG
RNAcentral lists this ribosomal RNA (468 nucleotides) under uncultured bacterium. RNAcentral's name for it is "partial 16S ribosomal RNA". It matches the Rfam family "Bacterial small subunit ribosomal RNA", at positions 28 to 507 of the family's 1533-position model. The record is from RNAcentral.